RNAcentral lists this long non-coding RNA (982 nucleotides) under Rattus norvegicus (Norway rat). Its description in RNAcentral is "long non-coding RNA NONRATT013093". The record is from RNAcentral. Lineage: Eukaryota; Metazoa; Chordata; Mammalia; Rodentia; Muridae.
AAUCAACCAACAGUAUCUAGAUACCUACAAAGGACAUAUAAUUCUGUGCAAGGGAUUGCGGGCGAUACUACGAUUUUUAAAUUUUAAACUUGGCUUCAUUUAUACAUAAGAUUUCCUUCCUUAAAUGCAGUCCUGGGAACGCCUAACUGCAAAGAAGCCAAAUUUUUAGCAAAGAAAUGGGUGAUAUUGAGUUUUCUAUCGUCUGCUCAUAAAGUGAAUGUUGACAUUAAAAUCAGACUAGAUUUGUAAAAGCAUUUGGGACCGUGCAUUUAACGUUUGCCAUUUAAGUGUCAUCCAUCGCAGCCCACCGAGAUCUCUUGUAACCAGUCAUUGGUUACACGCUGCAGAUGCUCACUGCCCCACUUAGACACAAGGUGCAGAGAUUUUCUCCACGUGUAAGCAGUCAGCUGAGCACAUCUCUGUAAGGCAAUAGCAGCAAGGUUUGACCGUGGUUGUUGCUUAGUUGAUUAACUGAUAACCUCCUGGUACUUUGUUUUAUUGUUUUGUGAUAAAGAUGGACCCAAAAGCACGCUAAACAAGUGCUCCACACUGAAGUGUGUCCCAAGCCUAUAGUGUUUAACACAGGUUAUACAGACGAUUCUCACUGCUCUUUAAAAGUUUUAUUUUUAUGUUAUGUAUACUAUACCUGCAUGAAUACAGGAAAGUGUGCCUUGCGCACACAGGAACCUGCAGGGGUCAGAGGAAGGCGUCACGUGGAUCCCCUAGAGUUGGAGUCACAGGCAGUUGUGAACUACUGUGGGUAUUAAGAACUGAACCUGGGUCCUUGGCAGGAGCAGUGUGUGAUCUUACACACUCAACCACCUCUCCAGCCCCAGUUACCACGAUUUUUAAAAGUUGUUUCGUUUAAUUCAACAGAAAGCAGCCCAAAGCUGAGGCUCAGUAAAUACUGAAUGAAUUAGCAAACGAAUACCAGGACUCAAAAGAUGUUAACAUUUUAAUAAAUCAUAAGAAAAUGUGGUUU